GUAAGAAGAGGACGAGUGUUGCUCUCUAUCCCAUCUAAUUCUACGCGUGUGUUAUAUGGAUGAGGCAAGGACCUAUCCAUGUGGAAAUGGGAUUUGCAAGGUUUUCGCAUCUGAACAGCUCGGUACACAAGGGAGACGAUUUUGGGUUUGAACAAAGCCCCAAGAAAUCGGUGGGUAUAGGUUCUUUGCAUGGAUACUAGGGAGAGCAAAUGCCCAAUAGAGCACAGGGAGCGUAACCAUCAAAAGUGAUGGGGUAAGGCCUUCGGGAAGUAUGGAAAUGUCAUGUAAAGAUCCAAUAAAUGAAGGUUGAAGCAGUCGUCCAAUUAGAGAAUGACAACUUAAUUUUGUGAUAAAUUGUUGGGUCGUAUUAAAAAUAUG
Non-coding RNA from Nelumbo nucifera (sacred lotus), 378 nucleotides. The record is from RefSeq and is a predicted model, not a curated record. Lineage: Eukaryota; Viridiplantae; Streptophyta; Magnoliopsida; Proteales; Nelumbonaceae.